This 433-nucleotide ribosomal RNA is filed under the name uncultured bacterium. RNAcentral's name for it is "bacterial SSU rRNA". It matches the Rfam family "Bacterial small subunit ribosomal RNA", at positions 355 to 796 of the family's 1533-position model. The record is from RNAcentral.
UCGAGGAUCUUCGGCAAUGUGCGAAAGCAUGACCGAGCGACGCCGCGUGUGCGACGAAGGCCUUCGGGUUGUAAAGCACUGUCGAGGGGGAGGAAAGCCGAAAGGUCUGACCUAUCCCUGGAGGAAGCACGGGCUAAGUUCGUGCCAGCAGCCGCGGUAAGACGAACCGUGCAAACGUUGUUCGGAAUCACUGGGCUUAAAGGGCGCGUAGGCGGAUCGCAAAGUCAGGGGUGAAAUCCUCCAGCUUAACUGGAGAACUGCCUCUGAUACUGGCGGUCUCGAGUAAGGUAGGGGCGUGCGGAACUGAUGGUGGAGCGGUGAAAUGUGUUGAUAUCAUCAGGAACUCCGGUGGCGAAAGCGGCACGCUGGACCUUCACUGACGCUGAUGCGCGAAAGCCAGGGGAGCAAACGGGAUUAGAUACCCCCGUAGUCC